CAGUAGCCGCGGUAAUACGUAGGUGGCAAGCGUUGUCCGGAAUUAUUGGGCGUAAAGGGCUCGCAGGCGGUUUCUUAAGUCUGAUGUGAGAGCCCCCGGCUCAACCGGGGAGGGUCAUUGGAAACUGGGAAACUUGAGUGCAGAAGAGGAGAGUGGAAUUCCACGUGUAGCGGUGAAAUGCGUAGAGAUGUGGAGGAACACCAGUGGCGAAGGCGACUCUCUGGUCUGUAACUGACGCUGAGGAGCGAAAGCGUGGGGAGCGAACAGGAUUAGAUACCCGAGUAGUCCCUGUCUCUUAUAC
This 301-nucleotide ribosomal RNA is filed under the name uncultured bacterium. RNAcentral describes it as "partial 16S ribosomal RNA". It matches the Rfam family "Bacterial small subunit ribosomal RNA", at positions 509 to 807 of the family's 1533-position model. The record is from RNAcentral.